AGUGAAGAUAGAGGUGCAAAUUUAAUCAGUACGUAUCAGGAAGGGUAUGAGCCCUUAUGAAUGAUGCGGAAAGGGAAAUUUGCCGAAGUGAACAUUACCUCAUAGUAAUGAUUGCUGGUUCUGCGUUGAAUAAACGUAGGAUUGUCAAGAUGUAGAUUCUUGGAGAGCUAUCUCACGG
This 178-nucleotide non-coding RNA is filed under the name Priestia megaterium. RNAcentral's name for it is "Bacillus megaterium Lysine sequence". It matches the Rfam family "Lysine riboswitch aptamer". From Rfam's summary of the family: Riboswitches are metabolite binding domains within certain messenger RNAs that serve as precision sensors for their corresponding targets. Allosteric rearrangement of mRNA structure is mediated by ligand binding, and this results in modulation of gene expression. RNAcentral also lists the same sequence under 1 other name. Lineage: Bacteria; Bacillati; Bacillota; Bacilli; Caryophanales; Bacillaceae. The record is from RNAcentral.